GAUGGAAGAACGUAGCGAAAUGCGAUAAGUAGUGUGAAUUGCAGAAUUCAGUGAAUCAUCGAAUCUUUGAACGCACAUUGCGCCCCUUGGUAUCCCGAGGGGCAUGCCUGUUCGAGCGUCAUUUCACCACUCAAGCCUGGCUUGGUGUUGGGCGACGUCCUCUUUGGGGACGCGCCUCGAAACGCUCGGCGGCGUGGCACCGGCUUUAAGCGCAGCAGAAUCUUUCGCUUUGGAAGUCGGGGCCCCGUCUGCCGGAAGACCUGCUCGCAAGGUUGACCUCGGAUCAGGCAGGGAUACCCGCUGAACUUAAGCAUAUCAAUAAGCGGAGGA
This 330-nucleotide unclassified non-coding RNA is filed under the name soil metagenome. Its description in RNAcentral is "partial contains 5.8S ribosomal RNA, internal transcribed spacer 2, and large subunit ribosomal RNA". The stretch from base 5 to 121 matches the Rfam family "5.8S ribosomal RNA", at positions 38 to 154 of the family's 154-position model. The record is from RNAcentral.